Dromaius novaehollandiae (emu) is the source of this 698-nucleotide long non-coding RNA. RefSeq lists it as uncharacterized. The record is from RefSeq and is a predicted model, not a curated record. The transcript has 5 exons. NCBI's taxonomy places the organism in Eukaryota, Metazoa, Chordata, Aves, Casuariiformes, Dromaiidae.
UGGCCCUAUUCAUAGCAAUCAAAUUUCCUGGUUAAAAGGUAUUCUCCCCAAGGUCAGGUAUCAAAACUGUGUCAGAGCUCAACAGUGUUGCCUGACUUCUCUUUUGAGAACUCCUGCUGCUUUGGAGGAUAAGCUCAACAAUAGUCGGCAAAGAGCAUUUAAAGGCAUUUUGGCUAGUAUCUGACUCUGCGGUGAAACUAAUUUCAGCUGUGGCUGUUUUGAUGGAGUUCUGCAAAGAUACUGCACAAGAGAUCUAGCGGUCCCAGCUUAGACGACAAAGAGUUUGCAAAUACAGUCAUAUUGUUGCAGGGAAACAUGGCAAGAAAGGAUAAGUCCACUAAAGGCUUUAGAUGCCUCCAAAACACAGAUAGGCCUAAGGACCUGAGGAUAACUAACUGAGAUGUAGACAUUGGUGCUGUAUGGAUGAAUUCCACUUUCAUUUUUUUGGCAUGGAGAUGAUGUUAUAACUGCAACUGAAAGAACCACCUAUUUACAGCGGCUAAAAACUGGACAACUGGUCCUGUGAAAACUGGGCAUGGACAACCUACCUCUGUGUAUGACAUGUGUAGUCCAAUGACAGUCAUCAACAGUGAAUCCUGAAUGCCUCUGUCAUUGCAUUUAACUUCAUUGACAUGUUGUGUCAUAUUAUUAAAUUGGUUUUGUCAGCUUUUUAUUGAAACUUCUCUACUGAAACUGCA